AAAAAAAUCAAUGAGAUCACUAUAGAGCCUCCUGACCUCCUGAAUGGUUUUAAAAACUUUGCUCAAAAAUAAGUGACACUUCUUAGAAAGUGGGGAAAUGGAAAAAGAUUAAGUGUACUCAGUAGGACUGGAUAUCUGAUAGUACACUUUCCUCCAGGACUCCAAAUGGAGUGGUCAAAUGAAGGUUUAACACUGAUCUCCAGGUAGGAGACCUGUGAUCUUGUCCUAUUUCUGCCACUGAUCCCCUCUGACCUUGUGGUGACUCAGGCUGGUGGGCAGGAAUUUCUUCAUCUGUAAAAUGAGAAAAAUCUUUCUCCUCCUCUUCUCAGGGAUAUGGUGGAGGGAGAUAAAAAGAGUCAUAUAUAUGAAAGGGAUAAUUUGGAGUUGGAGUAGGACCUAGUGCUUCCACUACGAAUCAUGAUAGGGCCUGAAUGUCAGGAGCUGAUGAAGGCCAGAGGAUAUAUUACUUCAAUCCACUUCAGUGUAAAUAUGAGAGGCCAAAGGGGAGUAGUGCUGGUGAUGGUGGAAAAGGCAGACUUGGCACUGGUAGGCAAAGAGGUCCAUGUGAAAGGUAAGAGAGGCAUCUCAGGAGAAGUGCCAUGUUAGAAAACGGCAUACUGUAAUCCCCAACAAGUAGCUCUCCUUCUAGAAAACUGAUGAAGAGGUAACAGAGGUUUGGAAUGAGAGAAUUUGGUUCAAAUAUUCGUUCUGUCAAUUCCUUUGAGUCCUUGGGAAAGUUUCUUCCUUUAGAAAGGAAGAAAGCCUCCGUUUCUUCCUUUCUAAAAUGGAAACCUACCACUAGCAUUCGGUAUCCAUCUAUGGCUGGAUGGAUAGAUAAUGGGAUAACAUAAUUAAAACACCUGGCAUACGAUGGGCACUAACAUAAUAUUUCCUUUUCUCCACCGUCUUUACCUCUUUUCCUUCAGCUCCCCUAAACCUUUUCAGGUCCAGCUUUUUUGAAUGGCAAGUUUGAGAGGGCUCCUAGCUGGCAGGUGCCUCUAACAGGCCCUGCUCUAACCUAAUUAGGGAUGCACAGGAAAGGAUCUUGGAAGGUGCAGAGGCUGGAAGACAGCCUGGUUUAUGGAGAAAUUUAACUACAGCUGUGGUUAGGUGGUUGACUUGGCUUUGGCUUGCUUUUAAAUAUGAACCCUUAUGCACAUAUUCGAAAAAUAAUGUCUGCUUGUUUACUUUCUUUCUUAAAGGCUGAAACUGUUACACACAUAAACCACAAUCUGAAUCAUCUCAUCCUGUUUCUGCAACCAAGGAAGUCAUCAUUCAUUGUGACAUCAUGUUCAGGGACCAGGCAAAUAGAGGUGAGGUCACAACAUAGGAAAGUUGCUUGGUGUAUAAUUAGUGUGGGGAGCACAGCGGGGUGGAUUACAAUGCACAGACAAAUUCUAAUCCAUAGCCUGUAAUUUAAGGGUUGGGUCAAUCAUAAUUUGGGUGCAAGCACACCUACUUCCUUUUUUAAUAAGGGAGAAUUUAGCUCUUGUUACCCACAAGAGUUCUCAAAGUAGAAAAUAAUAAACCAUGUUCUUGAAGCCAGUACUGAAUUAUCAAAGCUGAAGGAAGGGAAGCUAAAGAAAGAUUAGGCAACUUGGGGUACAAAUGGGUUCAAAAUCCUCUCCGUCAGUAUGCCAAGUCUCUGGAUACCAGUGACUUAUUUGCCCUGGGGUGAGAGAAAACUCCAUUUUCCAUCAAGCUAGAGAAGCAACCUUCGUUUUUCCGCCAUGGAUAAGGCCACUUAUUAGGAGGACAACAAGAAGGUGGACCAUUAAGACAACAUGACACGUAAGGCAGGAGAAUCACUUGAACCUGGAAGGCGGAGAUUGCAGUGAACUGAGAUCACACCAAUGCACUCUAGCCUGGGCAACAGAGUGAGACUCUGUCUCAAAAAAGAAAAAAAACAAAGACAAUACGACAUACCUAGAUUCUAAUUCAACACAGAAAAUGCAAAACAAACAAAUAAAUAAAAUAAACAUAAAA
Nomascus leucogenys (northern white-cheeked gibbon) is the source of this 1986-nucleotide long non-coding RNA. RefSeq lists it as uncharacterized. The record is from RefSeq and is a predicted model, not a curated record. NCBI's taxonomy places the organism in Eukaryota, Metazoa, Chordata, Mammalia, Primates, Hylobatidae. The transcript has 2 exons.